UCCGAAGGUCCUGGUCGAGGAUGAGU
Molecule: small RNA, 26 nt
Filed under: Bombyx mori (domestic silkworm)
Lineage: Eukaryota; Metazoa; Arthropoda; Insecta; Lepidoptera; Bombycidae
Description: ovarian small RNA-27448
Source: RNAcentral